RNAcentral lists this ribosomal RNA (672 nucleotides) under uncultured archaeon. RNAcentral describes it as "bacterial SSU rRNA". It matches the Rfam family "Archaeal small subunit ribosomal RNA", at positions 151 to 828 of the family's 1478-position model. The record is from RNAcentral.
ACCCCAUAGACUAUGGACGCUGGAAUGCCCUGUAGUCGAAAGGUCCGCCGCCGUAGGAUGGGUCUGCGGCCGAUUAGGUUGUUGUUGGGGUAACGGCCCAACAAGCCUGUAAUCGGUACGGGUUGUGGGAGCAAGAGCCCGGAGAUGGAUUCUGAGACACGAAUCCAGGCCCUACGGGGCGCAGCAGGCGCGAAAACUUUACAAUGCGGGAAACCGUGAUAAGGGAACUCCGAGUGCCCGUUAAAUCGGGCUGUCCAUCAGUUUAAAUAACUGGUGAAGAAAGGGCCGGGCAAGACCGGUGCCAGCCGCCGCGGUAAUACCGGCGGCUCGAGUGGUGGCCACUAUUACUGGGCUUAAAGCGUUCGUAGCUGGUUUGUUAAGUCUCUGGGGAAAUCUUCCGGCUUAACCGGAAGGCGUCUCAGGGAUACUGGCAGACUAGGGACCGGGAGAGGUGAGGGGUACUCCAGGGGUAGGAGUGAAAUCCUGUAAUCCUUGGGGGACCACCUGUGGCGAAGGCGCCUCACCAGAACGGCUCCGACAGUGAGGGACGAAAGCUGGGGGAGCAAACCGGAUUAGAUACCCGGGUAGUCCCAGCUGUAAACGAUGCGCGUUAGGUCUAUCAGCGACCACGAGUCGCUGAGGUGCCGAAGAGAAAUCGUGAAACGUGCCGCC